This 450-nucleotide ribosomal RNA is filed under the name uncultured bacterium. RNAcentral's name for it is "bacterial SSU rRNA". It matches the Rfam family "Bacterial small subunit ribosomal RNA", at positions 355 to 825 of the family's 1533-position model. The record is from RNAcentral.
UCAAGAAACUUCCACAAUGGGCGAAAGCCUGAUGGAGCGACGUCGCGUGAUGGACGAAGUGCUUCGGCACGUAAACAUCUUUUAUGUGGGAUGAAAUUAUUGACAGUACCACAUGAAUAAGGGGCUCCUAACCCUGUGCCAGCAGGAGCGGUAAUACAGAGGCCCCAAGCGUUAUCCGGAAUCACUGGGCGUAAAGGGUGCGCAGGCGGUUGGGUGUGUCAGAUGUGAAAUCCCGAGGCUUAACCUCGGAACUGCGUCUGAAACUACUCGACUAGAGUACUGGAGAGGGUAACGGAAUUCACGGUGUAGCAGUGAAAUGCGUAGAUAUCGUGAGGAACACCAGAGGCGAAGGCGGUUACCUGGACAGUUACUGACGCUCAGGCACGAAAGCAUGGGGAGCAAACAGGAUUAGAUACCCGCGUAGUCCCUGAGCGGGCUGGCAAGGCGCAU